UACGGAGGGCGCGAGCGUUACCCGGAUUUACUGGGCGUAAAGGGAGUGUAGGCGGCUUGGGGCGUCCCAUGUGAAAGGCCACGGCUCAACCGUGGAGGAGCGUGGGAUACGCUCAGGCUAGACGGCGGGAGAGGGUGGUGGAAUUCCCGGAGUAGCGGUGAAAUGCGCAGAUACCGGGAGGAACGCCGAUGGCGAAGGCAGCCACCUGGCUCACUUGUGACGCUGAGGCGCGAAAGCGUGGGGAGCAAACCGG
RNAcentral lists this ribosomal RNA (253 nucleotides) under uncultured bacterium. RNAcentral describes it as "partial 16S ribosomal RNA". It matches the Rfam family "Bacterial small subunit ribosomal RNA", at positions 524 to 776 of the family's 1533-position model. The record is from RNAcentral.